UAAUAGUUGGUGUAAAGGCACCUAUCAUUUUGAUUGAUGAGGAAGUAGUGUAAAUCUAUUACUAUUAA
Molecule: transfer RNA, 68 nt
Filed under: Paralepas cf. quadrata
Lineage: Eukaryota; Metazoa; Arthropoda; Thecostraca; Heteralepadidae
Description: tRNA-Gln
Source: RNAcentral